This 465-nucleotide ribosomal RNA is filed under the name uncultured bacterium. Its description in RNAcentral is "bacterial SSU rRNA". It matches the Rfam family "Bacterial small subunit ribosomal RNA", at positions 338 to 795 of the family's 1533-position model. The record is from RNAcentral.
CCUACGGGUUGCAGCAGUGGGGAAUAUUGCACAAUGGGCGCAAGCCUGAUGCAGCCAUGCCGCGUGUAUGAAGAAGGCCUUCGGGUUGUAAAGUACUUUCAGCGGGGAGGAAGGUGCUGAGGUUAAUAACCUCAGCAAUUGACGUUACCCGCAGAAGAAGCACCGGCUAACUCCGUGCCAGCAGCCGCGGUAAUACGGAGGGUGCAAGCGUUAAUCGGAAUUACUGGGCGUAAAGCGCACGCAGGCGGUCUGUCAAGUCGGAUGUGAGAUCCCCGGGCUCAACCUGGGAACUGCAUUCGAAACUGGCAGGCUGGAGUCUUGUAGAGGGGGGUAGAAUUCCAGGUGUAGCGGUGAAAUGCGUAGAGAUGUGGAGGAAUACCGGUGGCGAAGGCGGCCCCCUGGACAAAGACUGACGCUCAGGUGCGAAAGCGUGGGGAGCAAACAGGAUUAGAUACCCUCGUAGUC